This 387-nucleotide unclassified non-coding RNA is filed under the name soil metagenome. RNAcentral's name for it is "partial contains 5.8S ribosomal RNA, internal transcribed spacer 2, and large subunit ribosomal RNA". The stretch from base 1 to 122 matches the Rfam family "5.8S ribosomal RNA", at positions 35 to 154 of the family's 154-position model. The record is from RNAcentral.
GAUGAAGAACGUAGCGAAAUGCGAUAAGUAAUGUGAAUUGCAGAAUUCAGUGAAUCAUCGAAUCUUUGAACGCACCUUGCACCCUUUGGACUGCUCCAAAGGGUAUGCUCGUUUGAGUGUCAUUGUACUCUCACACUCUCUGAUCCUUUGGAUUUGGGGAGCAGUGGACUUGGGUGCUUGCUGCUUCCUUGUGGCUCACCUGAAAUGCAUCAGUGCAUCUCUCGAUUGGACAUAGUACGGCGUGAUAAGUGUCUUCGCCGGCACCUCAUAUGAGGGUGGCAGAUCGGGAGCUCUGUGCUUUCAAACCGUCUUCGGACAACGCUGACAACUUGACCUCAAAUCGAGUAGGACUACCCGCUGAACUUAAGCAUAUCAAUAAGCGGAGGA